This 571-nucleotide ribosomal RNA is filed under the name uncultured Methanosaeta sp. Its description in RNAcentral is "bacterial SSU rRNA". It matches the Rfam family "Archaeal small subunit ribosomal RNA", at positions 133 to 705 of the family's 1478-position model. Lineage: Archaea; Methanobacteriati; Methanobacteriota; Methanomicrobia; Methanotrichales; Methanotrichaceae. The record is from RNAcentral.
CGGGAAACUGGGUAUAAUACCCGCUAGAUCUCGGAGGCUGGAAUGCAUCGAGAUUUAAAGCUCCGGCGCCCGAGGACGGAUCUGCGGCCUAUCAGGUAGUAGUGGGUGUAGCGUACCUACUAGCCUACGACGGGUACGGGUUGUGAGAGCAAGAGCCCGGAGAUGGAUUCUGAGACACGAAUCCAGGCCCUACGGGGUGCAGCAGGCGCGAAAACUUUACAAUGCUGGCAACAGCGAUAAGGGGACCUCGAGUGCCAGGUUACAAAUCUGGCUGUCGAGAUGCCUAAAAAGCAUUUCAUAGCAAGGGCCGGGCAAGACCGGUGCCAGCCGCCGCGGUAACACCGGCGGCUCGAGUGGUAACCGUUAUUAUUGGGUCUAAAGGGUCUGUAGCCGGCCGGAUAAGUCUCUUGGGAAAUCUGGCAGCUUAACUGUCAGGCUUUCAGGAGAUACUGUUCGGCUCGAGGCCGGGAGAGGUGAGAGGUACUUCAGGGGUAGGGGUGAAAUCUUGUAAUCCUUGAAGGACCACCAGUGGCGAAGGCGUCUCACCAGAACGGACCCUGACGGCAGGGAC